RNAcentral lists this ribosomal RNA (449 nucleotides) under uncultured bacterium. Its description in RNAcentral is "bacterial SSU rRNA". It matches the Rfam family "Bacterial small subunit ribosomal RNA", at positions 328 to 793 of the family's 1533-position model. The record is from RNAcentral.
GUUCCAGACUCCUACGGGAGGCAGCAGUGGGGGAUAUUGCACAAUGGGGGAAACCCUGAUGCAGCGACGCCGCGUGUGGGAAGACGGUCCUCUGGAUUGUAAACCACUGUCCCCAGGGACGAAGAUGACGGUACCUGGGGAGGAAGCUCCGGCUAACUACGUGCCAGCAGCCGCGGUAAUACGUAGGGUGCGAGCGUUAAUCGGAAUUACUGGGCGUAAAGCGCUCGUAGGCGGUAUGUCAAGUCAAGGGUGAAAUCCCCGCGCUCAACGUGGGAACUGCCUUUGAAACUGGCAAACUGGAGUGUGUGAGAGGAUAGUGGAAUUCCAGGUGUAGGAGUGAAAUCCGUAGAUAUCUGGAGGAACAUCGGUGGCGAAGGCGGGUUCCUGGACAUUAACUGACGCUGAGGCACGAAGGCCAGGGGAGCGAAAGGGAUUAGAUACCCUAGUAG